This 427-nucleotide ribosomal RNA is filed under the name uncultured beta proteobacterium. RNAcentral's name for it is "bacterial SSU rRNA". It matches the Rfam family "Bacterial small subunit ribosomal RNA", at positions 355 to 774 of the family's 1533-position model. The record is from RNAcentral. Lineage: Bacteria; Pseudomonadati; Pseudomonadota; Betaproteobacteria.
UGGGGAAUUUUGGACAAUGGGCGAAAGCCUGAUCCAGCCAUGCCGCGUGAGUGAAGAAGGCCUUCGGGUUGUAAAGCUCUUUUAGUCGGAAAGAAAGAGUUGCAAUGAAUAAUUGUGAUUUAUGACGGUACCGACAGAAAGAGCACCGGCUAACUACGUGCCAGCAGCCGCGGUAAUACGUAGGGUGCGAGCGUUAAUCGGAAUUACUGGGCGUAAAGGGUGCGCAGGCGGUCUUGCAUGUCAGAUGUGAAAGCCCCGGGCUUAACCUGGGAAUUGCGUUUGAAACUACAAGGCUAGAGUGCAGCAGAGGGGAGUGGAAUUCCAUGUGUAGCAGUGAAAUGCGUAGAGAUGUGGAAGAACACCGAUGGCGAAGGCAGCUCCCUGGGUUGACACUGACGCUCAUGCACGAAAGCGUGGGGAGCAAACA